AAAGGGUCCGUAGGCGGACUCGUAAGUCAGUGGUGAAAUCUCAUAGCUUAACUAUGAAACUGCCAUUGAUACUGCGGGUCUUGAGUAAAGUAGAAGUGGCUGGAAUAAGUAGUGUAGCGGUGAAAUGCAUAGAUAUUACUUAGAACACCAAUUGCGAAGGCAGGUCACUAUGUUUUAACUGACGCUGAUGGACGAAAGCGUGGGGAGCGAACAGGAUUAGAUACCCCUGU
RNAcentral lists this ribosomal RNA (230 nucleotides) under uncultured bacterium. Its description in RNAcentral is "partial 16S ribosomal RNA". It matches the Rfam family "Bacterial small subunit ribosomal RNA", at positions 562 to 791 of the family's 1533-position model. The record is from RNAcentral.